GCACGCGCGCUACGUCCCUCAGACUGGCUGCCCCCGAGGGUUCGCGUGAGCGGAGCACGGGGCUCGGGGUGCGGGGGGCUGGUGUGAUGGACGCAUUUGUUCUUCGGUCCCUGACGAUUGUUUCUCAUUUGCCCUCCAAGCCCCAAAUCCUGUCAGUCCACGGCCUUGAUGGAGCGGCCCCCGUGGGACGACCCUGUUGAUUGUGCUAGCGGAUGUUGUCUCCAUUCUGGAUCUGGGAAAAACUGUGGAGUGAAAGCCGGACCUGUUAGGGUUGGGACCUGAAAGCGGACUUUUUCGCUCUCAGACGGGCCCCAGGAAUUUCAUGUUUAACAGAGGUGUCUUCAAGGAGAUGAAACAAUUCAGAAUGACCUAGGCAAUGGGGUAAUUCCUAAGGAACAAGCUAUUCAUUCAUACAGCAUGGACGAAUAUUAAAUGCAUGUUGCUGAGUGAAAGAAGCCAGAAUGAUAAGGCUACAUCCUGGAAAAGUUUAUAUUCUGGAAAAGGCAAAACUUAUAGAGACAGAAACAAAUCAGCCAGUUGUUGCUGGGGUUUGGGAGAGAAGAAUGUUGACUAUGUGAAGAACAAGGGAUCUUGGGGGGCAUCUAUUCCAUAUGCUACUGUAGGGGUGGAUGCAUGAUACUAUCAUUUGUGGAAAACCAUAGAACUUUACAAAACUAACAGUGAACCUUAAUGUCUGCAAAAUUUUACAAAAUCAACUAGGAGGCUGGGGGAUCCCAGGAUGAAAUACAGGCAAUGACAAAAGAGCCUAACUCUAUUACACAUUUAUAACAUAACCGCACCGAAGAGGACUGGUAUUCUAUAACUGUGGAAAUAAUGGAAACUGGAAAACUGAAGACAAAAGGAACUGUACUUAGCACUAUACUCUAGUUGGUAAAGGCGUUUCUCAAGGGGUACCAGUUAACAAUUCUGAGACUGCUGUACAUGUAUGCAGAGACUGAACAAAUAAGUAAAUGGCUGGUACAUGCUCACUCUCAGGGAGGGAGGCCACAGAUAAACAAGAGGAAGAGGCUCUAAUGUCAUGUGUGGUUGUGGAUUAGAACCAGAAACAUAAAUAUGAACUCAUGUUUAGAUUAAUAUAGAUAUUAAUGGAUUGAUAUAGAAAUAAUGAUGAUAUGGGUAUAUAUACAGGUUAGUAUACAGUCAUAUAUUUCUUAUCCCUAUCCACUGAGAGGGCCUAGAAACAACAAUACUCCAGUAGCAACACACACAUCUCGUGCCCAUAUCUUGAUUUCUUUUGCCAUUUCCUAACAAAAGGAGCCAGGACUUCUUGGAGAAAUGGCUGAUUCUAAGACUGGGUCAGAGAGUAUACCAGAUGACGCUGGCACAUCUUCUACUGCUAGAAAGUAAGGAAAUGCUCAAAAAAUAAAACCACGGAGAUAUUUCAAAGGAACACAGAAGCCAAGUGGAACAGCUCCCAGUGGCCAAAGCUGGAAAAAUUGGGGCAAAAAAAAAAAAAAAAGUAUUAGGUUAUAAUCCAAAAUAUAAAAUAAAUAAUCACCAGCCCGUACUAAUGUGCAUAAAUUAUUGAAUAAAUAAGUAAAUGGGUGAAAAGAGAAAACUCUCUCCCAUACAAAGGAAGCCCAAAUAAUUUAUGUAGAUGAUCGCCCUGCAAUGAGGCAGAGGGCAACUCCCUACCCUGUGUUAAGUGUGGAUGGCACUUAGAGACUUGCUUCUGAAGAGCGCAAUACGGAAAGGAGGGGAGAAGUAACUUGGCAAUGAAGAAACCUGACAAACACCAUCUUCUCCAGGCAGCCAAGGUUAACACCAUCAGUGAUAAGUUACGUUGAUAGCCUGUAUUUUUGAUAUGAUGUGUUGAGAAUGUACUUAGUUUCUGUGGUCUUCUUCCCAAACACCUGACACCAGGCUCACCAGGAGAAAAUGAAUCCAAAUUAAGGGACAUUCUACAGAAUACCUGACCAACACUCCCUCCUAAAAACUGUCAAGGUCAUCAAGGAAUGUCUAGGAAGAAGGAAAGUCUGAGAAGUUGUCUCAGCCCAGAGGAGCCUUAAGAAGCCAUGACAGACAGGGUCUCCAUCUGCCUCCCAG
This 2067-nucleotide long non-coding RNA is filed under the name Homo sapiens (human). RNAcentral describes it as "HSALNT0359786". Lineage: Eukaryota; Metazoa; Chordata; Mammalia; Primates; Hominidae. The record is from RNAcentral.